UACGUAGGUGGCAAGCGUUGUCCGGAUUUACUGGGCGUAAAGAGCGCGCAGGCGGUCGUUCAAGUCGCGUGUGAAAGCCCCCGGCUCAACUGGGGAGGGUCACGCGAUACUGAUCGACUCGAAGGCAGGAGAGGGUAGUGGAAUUCCCGGUGUAGUGGUGAAAUGCGUAGAUAUUGGGAGGAACACCGGUGGCGAAGGCGGCCCUCUGGACCGGUACUGACGCUGAUGCGCGAAAGCGUGGGUAGCAAACGGG
Molecule: ribosomal RNA, 253 nt
Filed under: uncultured bacterium
Lineage: Bacteria
Description: partial 16S ribosomal RNA
Rfam family: Bacterial small subunit ribosomal RNA
Source: RNAcentral